Molecule: ribosomal RNA, 404 nt
Filed under: uncultured bacterium
Lineage: Bacteria
Description: bacterial SSU rRNA
Rfam family: Bacterial small subunit ribosomal RNA
Source: RNAcentral
UGGGGAAUAUUGGACAAUGGGCGCAAGCCUGAUCCAGCCAUGCCGCGUGAGUGAAGAAGGCCUUAGGGUUGUAAAGCUCUUUCAGUGGUGAAGAUAAUGACGGUAGCCACAGAAGAAGCCCCGGCCAACUCCGUGCCAGCAGCCGCGGUAAUACGGAGGGGGCUAGCGUUGUUCGGAAUUACUGGGCGUAAAGCGCGCGUAGGCGGGCUGGCCAGUUGGGGGUGAAAUCCCGAGGCUUAACCUCGGAACUGCCCUCAAUACUGUCAGCCUCGAGUCCGGGAGAGGUGAGUGGAAUUCCUAGUGUAGAGGUGAAAUUCGUAGAUAUUAGGAAGAACACCAGUGGCGAAGGCGGCUCACUGGCCCGGUACUGACGCUGAGGCGCGAAAGCGUGGGGAGCAAACAGG